This is a small nuclear RNA of Ornithorhynchus anatinus (platypus), 188 nucleotides long. RefSeq annotates it as U2 spliceosomal RNA. The record is from RefSeq and is a predicted model, not a curated record. NCBI's taxonomy places the organism in Eukaryota, Metazoa, Chordata, Mammalia, Monotremata, Ornithorhynchidae. The transcript has a single exon.
CUAUAUUCGCGGCCUUUUGGCUAAGGUCAAGUGUAGUAUCUGUUCUUCUCAGUUUAAUAUCUAUGUCCUCGAUGUGAGGACGCUGUAUUAAGCGUCUUUUUGGAGUAGAGAGGUGGGUUGGGAGCUUACUCCGUCCCCUCCGUGCGUCGGCCUGGUAUUGCAGUGCUUCCAGGAAGGGUGCCUUUCCU